GGGUGCUUAGCUCAGUUGGUUAGAGCACUUCGUUUACACCGAAGGGGUCGUAGGUUCGAAUCCUUCAGCACCCACCA
Molecule: transfer RNA, 77 nt
Filed under: Candidatus Falkowiibacteriota bacterium
Lineage: Bacteria; Candidatus Falkowiibacteriota
Description: tRNA-Val
Rfam family: tRNA
About the family: Transfer RNA (tRNA) molecules are approximately 80 nucleotides in length. Their secondary structure includes four short double-helical elements and three loops (D, anti-codon, and T loops). Further hydrogen bonds mediate the characteristic L-shaped molecular structure. tRNAs have two regions of fundamental functional importance: the anti-codon, which is responsible for specific mRNA codon recognition, and the 3' end, to which the tRNAs corresponding amino acid is attached (by aminoacyl-tRNA synthetases). tRNAs cope with the degeneracy of the genetic code in two manners: having more than one tRNA (with a specific anti-codon) for a particular amino acid; and 'wobble' base-pairing, i.e. permitting non-standard base-pairing at the 3rd anti-codon position.
Source: RNAcentral